CCUACGGGUGGCAGCAGUGGGGAAUAUUGGACAAUGGGCGAAAGCCUGAUCCAGCCAUGCCGCGUGUGUGAAGAAGGCCUUCGGGUUGUAAAGCACUUUCAGUGGGGAAGAAAGCCUUGGGGCUAAUACCCUCGAGGAAGGACAUCACCCACAGAAGAAGCACCGGCUAACUCCGUGCCAGCAGCCGCGGUAAUACGGAGGGUGCGGGCGUUAAUCGGAAUUACUGGGCGUAAAGCGCGCGUAGGCGGUCUGAUAAGCCGGUUGUGAAAGCCCCGGGCUCAACCUGGGAACGGCAUCCGGAACUGUCAGGCUAGAGUGCAGGAGAGGAAGGUAGAAUUCCCGGUGUAGCGGUGAAAUGCGUAGAGAUCGGGAGGAAUACCAGUGGCGAAGGCGGCCUUCUGGACUGACACUGACGCUGAGGUGCGAAAGCGUGGGUAGCAAACAGGAUUAGAUACCCCAGUAGUC
RNAcentral lists this ribosomal RNA (465 nucleotides) under Vreelandella stevensii. RNAcentral describes it as "partial 16S ribosomal RNA". It matches the Rfam family "Bacterial small subunit ribosomal RNA", at positions 338 to 795 of the family's 1533-position model. The record is from RNAcentral. Lineage: Bacteria; Pseudomonadati; Pseudomonadota; Gammaproteobacteria; Oceanospirillales; Halomonadaceae.